Pelodiscus sinensis (Chinese soft-shelled turtle) is the source of this 558-nucleotide non-coding RNA. NCBI's taxonomy places the organism in Eukaryota, Metazoa, Chordata, Testudines, Trionychidae. The record is from RefSeq and is a predicted model, not a curated record.
AAUAUAUGAAGGAAAAAAGGUGGAGGCCAAUGAGGCUGAUUAAAGGUGGACCAUUCCUGAUGCUACAUGGAAUUAAAUAUACUAAUCAGAUUCUGUGCUUAAGGGACAGAAAUAGAAAUCAAAAGAAGUAGAGCAGGCCAACACGCUGAAGAAUUCUGUCUCUUCUCUUUAUUUUUAAUGUAACUAACUGCAUUGACCCAGACGUUCCAGAAGAGAUGAAGAGUUGAUAAAGUUUUUACCCAGGAGAGUAAAAUCUGGAUGUCCUCAGGUCUCAGAAAUGAGCAGAAAGAGAAGAAAAAGCUGCAAGGGCAGAAAAAGCUCAGAUGCCAGAGAAUAUGAACAUUUGCCAGCCAUUUGUAAAUGCCAGCAAAAUGUAAAAGGCCUUACAAAUAAAGCAGAUGAGGACGCAGUAGAAGCUAACUUCUCUGAGCCAGUAGAUACGGAGCAGUCUGAAAGAAAUAGGAGAGAUGAUUCUUGUGCACCAAAGAAUGAGCAACAGAAUAACUCAGGUGCAUGUGAAGAUAAAGAACAAGAAUAUACAGAUGACAGUGAAAAAGA